Molecule: ribosomal RNA, 375 nt
Filed under: uncultured organism
Description: partial 16S ribosomal RNA
Rfam family: Bacterial small subunit ribosomal RNA
Source: RNAcentral
GAACCGUCCAAACGUUAUUCGGGAAUCACUGGGCUUAAAGGGUGCGUAGGCGGCCUAGCAAGUUGGGGUGUGAAAUCCCUCGGGCUCAACCGAGGAACUGCGCCCAAAACUGCUAGGCUUGAGGGAGAUAGAGGUGAGCGGAACUUAGGGUGGAGCGGUGAAAUGCGUUGAUAUCCUAAGGAACACCAGUGGCGAAGGCGGCUCACUGGAUCUCUUCUGACGCUGAGGCACGAAAGCCAGGGUAGCGAACGGGAUUAGAUACCCCGGUAGUCCUGGCUGUAAACGAUGAGCACUGGGUUGGAGGCCCCUCCAUAGGCUUCCGGCCGAAGCGAAAGUGUUAAGUGCUCCGCCUGGGGAGUAUGGUCGCAAAGGCUG